GGUCUGGGCCUCCUCCUGGCCCCUGAGAGCGGCCGCCAGGAGGAGGAGCAGAAGAGCGAGCACGGGCCGCGGAAGCACAGCCAUCCACGCAGCGCCGGCCUCGCCAGGCCCCACGGGUCCCCGGAGCCGCAGCGGGCGCGCCCCCACGGAGGCUCCGGGGCGCCCUAGGCAGCGGCAAGAGCGCGGGGCUAGGAAGCAGCCACCCGCUCCAUGUCCACGCCUCCUUCCGGGCGGCGUGGGCCACGCUCGCCGCCGCCGCCUUUACGAAGCUCCCAGCGAGAGGCGGCGCCCUCUCGGGGACGCGCAGCCCUGUGCCCCAGCUCACCUGGGCCGGCGGCGGCCCCCGCGCGCCUGCGCCAAAGUGUGGCGCGUCAGAGCCGCAGUGGGGAGAAGCUCCGCGGAUGGUGCUACCGUGAGAACUUCUGUGGCUUAAUCUGACGCCCUGUCGGGGUUCGGUCCAGUCACCCCGAGGGCCAAGCUUCAAGUGAGGACAGUUUAGGAGAAAUGAGCUCCUGUAGCUCCUAGCAGAGGGGUCCGGCUAGGUUUCCGGUUUGGAAACGUGAUUUUCUUGCCUCUUAACCUUCCCCCCGCCACGCGCCUCCGCCCCAGCGUUUUCCUCACCUCAUCUCCAGCUUUUACGCGGAUGGAGGAGCCGGGAGAUGGUAAUCCGAGGCGGUGGUGGGUGCGUGGUUUGGGCUACAUUGAGCUAGAUGCUGCUUUGGAUUUUCUGAAAGAAGACCGUGGUUUGCAGUAAACGAACAAACAAAAACACCGUGGCCGCGUUUUGUAACUUGAUAAAUCCAGUGGCUUCUCUUGGUGUGCAGAAUCCUCAUAUAACGAUUGCAGUAAUUUUCACCGGAACUAUAAAUAUCUAGUUACGUUUGCAUCCUGGCAGUUUCUAAGACUUUUACAAAGGAUCCAGGGUCACAGUGCAAGUGUUGGGAAUAGAUUAUGGAUGGAAUGGAUUUCUCAGAGCUCAUCCAGCUCCACUAUCAGAAUCCUUGAACAAGGCUUGGUUCCUCCAAGUCUUCUGGAGAAACUCCCUUGCCUAGGAAUAAGUCUUCCAAAACAAAGGACAGAAUGCAACAAGAUUAUGGAGAGACCACAGAACCAAAGUAGCCUAGAGUGCUGGGCCUAACGCAUGAAGGACAGGUUCCUGCAGAGUCACCCAGACCCACAGUGGACUUCACAGGAGUGAAAAAUAAACUUUUGUUGUGUUGAGUCACUGAGAUUUUGGGGGUUGUGUUUUCCUGCUGCAUAAUCAAGACUCUGCAGUCCCCAAAUGAGAGGAGAGAGGUGAAGACAAAAAAAUUUGAAGAAAUAGUGGCCGAAAUUUUUUGAAAUUUGAUGAAAACCAAAAAUCCUCAGAUACAACAGGCUAAAUGAACCCCAUGCCCUGGGAGCAUGAAAGAAACUCCACAAAGGCAUGUAAUAAUCAAAUUGUUCAAAACAGUGAUAAAUAGAAAUCCAAGAAAAAGGCCCAUUAUGUACAGAGGAACGAAGGUAAUGGUGACAGCAAGUUUCUCAUCAGAAAUGAUGCAAGUGCGAAGAGAAUGGAGCAACAUUUUAAAAGGACUGAAAGAAAAAACCGUCAGCCUACCAGCAAAAAUAUCUUUAAGAAAUUAGGCAAAAUAACUUUUUAAGACGUACAAGCCCUGAAAGAAUUUAUCACAAGCAGAUCUGCACUAAGAGAGUUUUUCUUAAAAACUCCUUCAGGGAGAAGGAAAAUUAUCCCAGAUGGAAAUCUGACCCACAGAGAGGAAUGAGGAGGACUGAAAAUCACUGGGAAUUUUUGGCCGUGCACCUCGCCUCAUGUUCCUAUGCUCCCUUUCCAGCAUCUUGUCAGCCUGCUGAACGUCAUCCUCAUUUUUUUUUUCUCUAAAAUGCCAUCAAUUUAAGCCUAGUUUGUAAUAAAUUUUCAGGGUAAAAUUAAGUUUGAGGGUAUAGGGAUUACGUCACAGCCUAGCACUAUUAUAGUAGGUAACUGCACUGCUGGAAACAUUCAGCUUCUCGAUUCAUGAGCAUCCUUUGGUCAUUACUUCCUUCCAUCAGAAUCUCAGCAGCCAGGCCUCUGUGCUGUGGGUUUCUUGUUCCUCCUUUCCUGAGUUUCCUUUCUUCUUUUUUCUGGGCAGUUUCAGUAAAACCAAAAUUCUCUGUUCGCUGUGCAGAGCAACUUACUUCUACCUCCCUGUCAGUCCUUCUAGCUGUUGACAUAAUCUACUUCCAGAUCAGCCCAUCAAGAUGUUUUGAUUUUUAAAGAGAGGUGUAUUUUUUAUCCCCUCUAAAGAAACAUGCCCCCAUCUCCUCAAAUAACAAAAUUUUAUCCUAGUGGUACAUAUUUUAUUACAUUGUGAAAACUUAGAUAUAUUUUAAAACUUAUUUGAACACAUUGAACUUGUUUCUAUGAUAACCUCCAUUUAAAAAUGGCUUCAUCUCAGCUGGUAGGAUAAAAAAAAAUGCCCAUUUUAUUUCAUAAACUAAUAUUUUAAGGAGUUCUGAAUUUCUCACAAAUAUGAAAUUAACCCCUCUCAAAAUGCUGCUUCUUAAAGGACGAAGACAACUUUAUUAUUGGAAAACUGUUCAAUACAAGAAAGAGGCUCUUUUCCUUUCCUUAAAUGGAAGCCACUAUUUUUAGUUUUAUUUUAUUUUGGUUUUGUCCUAGGAAUCAGAAAUGGGGCUGAAAUUUCUUUCUCAAUAAAUAUUGUUUUCUAAUUAUAAUUAUUUUGGUAUUUUAAAAAAGAAAAAAGAAAAAUAAAUAGAACAGAAAAACAGAAAAUAAAAAUAUCUAUAUCCCAUUACCCAGAGAUAGUGACUGUUAACUACUGGAUAUAUGCCCUCUAAGAACUUUUUAAUUGCCACAUAUAUAUGUAUGUAUUUAUGUGUGUAGCAUACACAUCUGUCUAUCUAUAUACUAUAUAUACAUACACACAUACUUUUCCUUUAGCAAAAGUAAGAUUGUAGUGAGGACUUUAUUUCAAUAAAAUAUAGAACUGCAUCAUUUUCAAUUGCUACAUGAUAAUUCAUUUAUGGAAAUACAAUAACUUAAUCAGUUUCUAAUCAAUGAGCAUUUAGUUUAUUUCCAUUUAUUUUCUAUUAUAAACAUUGCUAUGAUGAUACAUAUUUUAGAAGUUGCUAGAAACUUAGAAUAUGUGAUUCUGGUUUCUUAAAUAGCUUUCUUCAAAUAUUUGCUUCUACAAGCUGUCUUUAAGACUAAAGUUUUUGGAAUCCUAUCUCAAAGCACUUUGGCCACCAAAGUAGGAAAUCAGCAGCAAGCAUCCAAAAGGUCUUAAAUAUUUUUAACCCUAAUAGAUGACCUCCCAACCUGGCUACAAGAACAUUUCAGUUUUAAGUCUCAGUUGCCCAAAGAACCUCCACAUCAAUCAAAUGGAUUUAUUGACGUGAAGGAGCCUGGUGCUUUGCUGCCUUCCCGCAUCUGCUGCACUUGCUGCUUCUCCUGGCUGGAGGGGCUGGAAAGCACUUUCUCUUCCUCUCCACUGAUCAACUCUAAUCCAGAAUUAAAGUUCCAGCUCAAAUCUCACUUGAUCCAUAAACUCUUCCUGACCUCCAGCAUGAAGUGAUUUGUUCCCUCAUUAAACUCCUUUGGCACAUGAUAUUUGUAUCAUUUUUGGCAAUUAAAUGUGUAUUAUCUUGUAACAUUCUCUUCUUUCAAAUGUCAUUUACAUCUUACUUAUUAUUUCAUCAUUGGCAUAUUUUUAUCACCUGUCUACAGUUAUUCUAAAAGGCAAUUGAAGGAAGAGAUCAGUCUUACUAUUUGCAUAGCACUAUACCUUGCACACAGUAGGAACUUGAUAAAUCCUUAUUGAUUUGAUUUCUGUAAAUUACAGAACUGUUAGUAAAAUUCUUGUUUGGUUCAAUGUCAAUGCACAGAUAUAAGCAUAUCAAAGGGGCUAUUUUCUUAAAACUUUUGUUGAGAUAUUAAUGUAAAAUCUUUGUUACUGACUAUAUAGUGCUAGUGUUGGCAACUGAGCUAUGUAGUAUUUAAGUAUCAUUAUAUCUUUAAGAUUUUUUUCAAUAUUUUAGUAUUUUAUAAUACUUUAAAUAUCUACUUACAAUAGUCUGCAUAAAGAUCGAAUUACUUACCUUACAAGCACUUGAGUAGAAGCACAAAAAUAACAGAAUAACAUGAGCGAGCUUCAUGUUGGAGAUAGGGUUUAUGUCUCUGCCAAGGACUGCGACCCACCUCAGAUAUUCAUUUGGAAAUUAAUUUUUAACCUCUGGAAAAAUAUUUAAAAGCUGGUAACCCUCGAAAGAGCUUUGUACUUUUGAACCCUUAUAGACUUUGGCUAAUAUUCAAAGCGUUUUACCGUAACUGAAACUAAAAAUGCCCUUCCCAGUAAAGAGCUGAGGGAGACAACCAAUAGGGACUGUUUCUUCCAAAGGAGAGGGAUUUUCCUCCCCUUGCUGGAAACAAUGCGGCAAUUGUGUUCUAGCAAAAGCAGAAAUUACAUUGGAAGUAAGUUUCUUAUAUUUUUUGUAAAAUAAAAUUAUAUAUAUUUUUUAUUAAAGUUGAAGACUAGAAGCAGCAAGAAAAAGAAGUACAUCUUAUUGAAAGCUAUACUAAAUAAGCUAAACACUCAAAAAAAAGAAAAAUCCGUGUAUUGGUUAUACUGUGAUCAAAUUAUAUUCUCUGAGCACAGAAAACUUUUUGAAACAAGAUUUUUGCCCUACUACCAACUAUAAUAUAGGAUUCACUGGCAUUUGUGAAGUAAAUUUGUGAAGUAAAUUUGUGACAGAAGCAAUGUAGACACAGUUUGAGUUCUCCUGAAGUAGAUAUGUGAUAGAGCUUAUUAGUGAUAAUAUGUUUAUUAGGGACGUUUAUUAGGGCAGGGUGUUUAUUAGGCAUCAACACCUGUGAAAGGAAAGGAGAGGAAGCAGGAGUGAGCAGAGGGAGAAAGGCCAGAGAAAGCCUUGGCCGACCCUGUAGGGACCUCUGGAGCUUGUCCGAGUGUCCCUGGGUCAGGCCAAAAUGACUGGGCUGCUGUACCCUGCCUUGCUCAGUCACCUCACACACACUGCCCAGGAAGGGCAUAGCCUUGGGUGAGGAUGUUCUCUGUAACUGAGGCUGACCCUGAGGGAUCUGACAAUUGUUUUCUUUUAGGAGGAGGUGUCUGACCACGUUUUUUAUAGCUCGGCAGCAAGCCCUCCCUUGAAGAGGGAUCUGGGAAACAUCUCCAUAUCGUUUAGAGUCUACCCCUUGUACCUUUUAGAUCUACUUUACCAUGUAUGUUUUAAGAGCAGUUCCUUCAAAAUUCCAGGGGGCCUACUCUUCCCGAGGGGAAACUAAGAAGGGGGAGUUAGUGGGAAAGUCCUGCCCUUGCAGUUGAUCUUAGGGCUGCAAUUUAAUUUCAUCCCCGGCCUCUUCUCUCUCCAUUCUAGAUUCCCUUCACCCUGACCUACCUGCUCUUGCUGGCUUCAGUGGCUUACUUGAUGGCAUGUGCCAGAACCUCAUUCUGGCUCCUAUCCCUCAGCUCCCGUGUAUUUUUCCUAUUGGAGAUUGUGCCAGUUUGAAUGUAUUGUGUCCCCCAAAAUGCCAUUAUCUUUGAUGCAAUCUUGUGUGGGCAGACAUAUU
Choloepus didactylus (southern two-toed sloth) is the source of this 5590-nucleotide long non-coding RNA. RefSeq lists it as uncharacterized. The transcript has 4 exons. Lineage: Eukaryota; Metazoa; Chordata; Mammalia; Pilosa; Megalonychidae. The record is from RefSeq and is a predicted model, not a curated record.